CGGUGUUUAACUGGCGUGAUGUGGGACGUCCUACCGGUGGGCUUAGCCUCGCGAGGGGCGGCCCAACUAAUAUCCCGUCGCGGUGCUCUUUACUGAGUGUCGAGUCGGGCCGGUACGGUUACUUUGAACAAAUUAGAGUGCUUAAAGCAGGCUAUCCUCGCCUGAAUACUGCGUGCAUGGAAUAAUGGAAUAGGACCUCGGUUCUAUUUUGUUGGUUUUCGGAACCCCGAGGUAAUGAUUAAUAGGGACAGAUGGGGGCAUUCGUAUUGCGACGUUAGAGGUGAAAUUCUUGGAUCGUCGCAAGACGGACAGAAGCGAAAGCAUUUGCCAAAAAUGUUUUCAUUAAUCAAGAACGAAAGUUAGAGGUUCGAAGGCGAUCAGAUACCGCCCUAGUUCUAACCAUAAACGAUGCCAGCUAGCGAUCCGCCGAAGUUCCUCCGAUGACUCGGCGGGCAGCUUCCGGGAAACCAAAGCUUUUGGGUUCCGGGGGAAGUAUGGUUGCAAAGCUGAAACUUAAAGGAAUUGACGGAAGGGCACCACCAGGAGUGGAGCCUGCGGCUUAAUUUGACUCAACACGGGAAACCUCACCAGGCCCAGACACCGGAAGGAUUGACAGAUUGAUAGCUCUUUCUUGAUUCGGUGGGUGGUGGUGCAUGGCCGUUCUUAGUUGGUGGAGCGAUUUGUCUGGUUAAUUCCGAUAACGAACGAGACUCUAGCCUGCUAAAUAGGCGUACCUUAUGGUAUCGCGAAGGCCCCCGGCUUCGGCCGGUGGGUUUUUACUACCAACGUACAAACAAAUCUUCUUAGAGGGACAGGCGG
RNAcentral lists this ribosomal RNA (819 nucleotides) under uncultured eukaryote. RNAcentral's name for it is "SSU rRNA". It matches the Rfam family "Eukaryotic small subunit ribosomal RNA", at positions 629 to 1426 of the family's 1831-position model. The record is from RNAcentral.